GACGAGGGAUCCUAGCGUUGUUCGGAAUUAUUGGGCGUAAAGCGUGUGUAGGCGGCCUUUCAAGUCAGGUGUGAAAGCCCCGGGCUCAACCCGGGAAGUGCAUCUGAUACUGCUUGGCUUGAGUACUGGAGAGGAUAGUAGAAUUCCUGGUGUAGUGGUGAAAUACGUAGAUAUCAGGAGGAAUACCGGUGGCGAAGGCGGCUAUCUGGCCAUGUACUGACGCUGAGACACGAAAGCGUGGGGAGCAAACAGG
RNAcentral lists this ribosomal RNA (253 nucleotides) under uncultured prokaryote. RNAcentral's name for it is "partial 16S ribosomal RNA". It matches the Rfam family "Bacterial small subunit ribosomal RNA", at positions 524 to 776 of the family's 1533-position model. The record is from RNAcentral.